AACGCUAGCUACAGGCUUAACACAUGCAAGUCGAGGGGCAUCAGGAAGAAAGCUUGCUUUCUUUGCUGGCGACCGGCGCACGGGUGAGUAACACGUAUCCAACCUGCCGAUGACUCGGGGAUAGCCUUUCGAAAGAAAGAUUAAUACCCGAUGGUAUAUCUGAAAGGCAUCUUUCAGCUAUUAAAGAAUUUCGGUCAUUGAUGGGGAUGCGUUCCAUUAGGUUGUUGGCGGGGUAACGGCCCACCAAGCCAUCGAUGGAUAGGGGUUCUGAGAGGAAGGUCCCCCACAUUGGAACUGAGACACGGUCCAAACUCCUACGGGAGGCAGCAGUGAGGAAUAUUGGUCAAUGGACGAGAGUCUGAACCAGCCAAGUAGCGUGAAGGAUGACUGCCCUAUGGGUUGUAAACUUCUUUUAUACGGGAAUAAAGUUAGGCACGUGUGCCUUUUUGUAUGUACCGUAUGAAUAAGGAUCGGCUAACUCCGUGCCAGCAGCCGCGGUAAUACGGAGGAUCCGAGCGUUAUCCGGAUUUAUUGGGUUUAAAGGGAGCGUANGCGGAUGCUUAAGUCAGUUGUGAAAGUUUGCGGCUCAACCGUAAAAUUGCAGUUGAUACUGGGUGUCUUGAGUACAGUAGANGCAGGCGGAAUUCGUGGUGUAGCGGUGAAAUGCUUAGAUAUCACGAANAACUCCNAUUG
RNAcentral lists this ribosomal RNA (693 nucleotides) under uncultured bacterium. RNAcentral's name for it is "bacterial SSU rRNA". It matches the Rfam family "Bacterial small subunit ribosomal RNA", at positions 32 to 715 of the family's 1533-position model. The record is from RNAcentral.